GAGUUUGAUCGUGGCUCAGAACGAACGCUGGCGGCGUGGAUUAGGCAUGCAAGUCGAACGCGAAAGGGGAGCAAUCCCUGAGUAGAGUGGCGAACGGGUGAGUAACGCGUGAAGAACCUGCCUUCAACAGGGGGAUAACACUCCCAACGGGGUGCUAAUACCGCAUGAGACCACGGGUCCACAUGAACCUGAGGUCAAAGGUGGCCUCUAUUUAUAAGCUACCGGUUGAAGAUGGCUUCGCGUCCCAUUAGCUAGUUGGCGGUGUAACGGACCACCAAGGCGACGAUGGGUAGCUGGUCUGAGAGGAUGGUCAGCCACACUGGGACUGAGAUACGGCCCAGACUCCUACGGGAGGCAGCAGUCGAGAGGCUUCGGCAAUGGGGGAAACCCUGACCGAGCGACGCCGCGUGGAGGAUGAAGGCCCUUGGGUUGUAAACUCCUUUUGUUGGGGAAGAAGUGCGAUCAGGUGAACAAUCUGGUCGUUUGACGGUACCCGACGAAUAAGCUCCGGCUAACUCCGUGCCAGCCGCCGCU
Molecule: ribosomal RNA, 534 nt
Filed under: uncultured bacterium
Lineage: Bacteria
Description: bacterial SSU rRNA
Rfam family: Bacterial small subunit ribosomal RNA
Source: RNAcentral